Molecule: long non-coding RNA, 203 nt
Filed under: Nicotiana benthamiana
Lineage: Eukaryota; Viridiplantae; Streptophyta; Magnoliopsida; Solanales; Solanaceae
Description: long non-coding RNA (NBEN_LNC020805)
Source: RNAcentral
AAUAUUUAGGUAUACAUCAAAUAGUUGGAAAAUAUUUAUGAACCCGACCUAGACAUAUUGGAAUAACUAAUGAUUAUUUUACAUACUGUCAAAGUAUAUUUACAAUUACCAAAACCCCAGACAAAUACUUACAGCGAAAUCACCAAAAAACUACACAAAAUCAAUUCGUGCAAAAAAUAAACAACUACCUGAACCAAUUCAUA